AUUUUAUUGAAUUUUUCUUGGCAGGAUCUUGAUCCUUGCCGUGUGUGAUGGUUUUAGAUUUAUGGUGGAAACCUCGUGUUGCGGAAUCAACGACCAGCACUGAGUGUUCUGGGCAGGAGGGACACCCAUGUGGUGAGGAGGUUGGUCUGGUGAUCAUUGGUUCCGGCUCCGGAGGCUGGCUGCUAUUAAAGCUGCCCAGUUGGGGAUGAAGACCCUUUGCAUUGAGAAGAACGACACAUGUGGUGUCACCUGCCUCAAUGUGUGAUAUAUCCCAUCGAAACCUCUCCUCAAUAAUACCCAUGGACAUUGCGCAGCUCUUCAAGAAGAAGUGCAUCUCAUUAAGGGCUACGGGAGUAUCACGUCAGUCAAGGAAGUCACCGCCAAGACUGAAUCUGGCUAAGAGAUGACUGCAACGGGAGCAGAAGUCAUCCAAUUUCUCCGGUAAGUCUGCAUUAUUAUUUCACGGCUGCCUUUACCCAUUCCAAGCUAUUUAUGAGAAAGGAGUUUAUACGUUUCCUUUAUGUAAAAUUAAAAUUAAAUUAAAUAGUAAAUUUUGUCGAUUUUUUUGCAGAUGGAUGGGUCGAAAGGUCAUAAAACGAAGGCUUGAAAAAUGGGGUGUCCAUAUCAACGUACACGCGACUGUGACUUUUAUAAAUCCACGUGGGAAGCUAGCUGCCCCUCAGAGGGAUACCAUCUACGGAAACAUCCACAACUCUGCGUGGGAGUCUAGCUGCCCCUUAGGGGAAUACCAUCGGAGACACCAGAGGCACUCGCAAUUCUUCAGUAUUAAAAAAACGACGUUCUUCAAGCUUCCGUCGUCGAAGAUCUUCGUGUUACAGCAUGCAUCAUGGGAUUCACAUGCAGAUAAGCCCAAAAUUAAUUUACCUUAUCAAAAUUGAUUAAAUGUGCCCUUUUCCAUACCCUAAUCAUACCCUUUUUGCAAAAUAUCCUAUUUUCCAUAAUAAUAAUUUUAUCCAGAAAAAUUGUGAAAAAUCAUCAUUUUUUUGAGUAAAAAGUGAUGAUGAUGUGUAAAAAAUGAUAAUUUUUUAUUUAUAAAUGAUUAUGAUGAUUUAUAAAAAAAACAUAUCAAAGACAAAAAAUAUAAUAUAAAUUGAAAAAUAUUUUAAAAGAAGAAAAAAGAUUUAAAAAAUGUUAAAAAAUAUAAAUAGGUUUUUUUCUAAUAAUUCUUAAUGAAAUUCAUCAUCAGGCGAAAAAAUGUUAUUUUUGUAAUUUUUCUUGUAAAAUUAUGUAAUAUUUUGUAUUUUAUUUCAUAUUAUUAAAUAAAAUAGAAAAAUAUAAAGAAAACUCGAUUUUUUAAUUAAAAAUAGACCGAUGGUCUGCAGACGGCAUCGGUUAUGACGUCACAAUAGUAGGGUCGAUUUUCGAGCCGACUGGGGUCGAUUUCGAACCGAUUUAUUGACCGAUUUUGCACCAAAAAAAAGUCUCACGGGGAUAGGGCAUUCAAUGUUAAAUGUCGGCAGACGAAUCGAUCUAUGCGUCGGCAAAUCGUCUGUUGAUAUGCUCGAUUUUGUCGUUCGAUAUCGACUCGACAUCGACAGA
Long non-coding RNA from Lutzomyia longipalpis, 1560 nucleotides. RefSeq lists it as uncharacterized. The transcript is spliced from 3 exons. Lineage: Eukaryota; Metazoa; Arthropoda; Insecta; Diptera; Psychodidae. The record is from RefSeq and is a predicted model, not a curated record.